CUACAAACGUCACUGCUUUUUAGUUUUCUGUCUUCAUUUAUGCUGGAAGUGAUAACAGAGCUGUACGUUUUAAUUUGUUUCCAAAACCCCGCAGUCAGGACAUGCUAUAUUGUAUUUAGAUAGAAGCUAGCGAGCUAACUCCCUGCUAACUUCUAACUCCGUUAAAUGUCAUAAACUCCCCCUGGUUUCUGCUCGGUGGCUGUUGAGUGAGCCCUCAUCUGGGACUCUCCUCAGCUCUUACUGGGACAGUGGCGCGGCUGCCCCUCUGUUGGUCUUCCUUGGUCUCUUGUGUUCUGGGGGCCUCUGGAUGUCUGGAGUUUUGAUCUCCUCCAUACCUGCUUCAUACCCUGGAGGACGGGGCUGUGGCUCCCCACACUCCCUAGCAGAUCGUUACAUGGAGAAACCUUUGGAAUGCAAACAUGCUGAUCCACACAGGUAUGCACACAGGUGUACACACGGGUAUUCACAGACGCGGACUACAGCUUUCUUGGCUGCUGCCUCAAAGCACAUUGUGCGCUGUCUAUCUUGCGUGCUGCACAAUAUCGUUUAUUAUUUAGUAUCUACUGAUAUCUACUGCUAGCUAGUUUAUUGUGAUGGUGCUGUUUUUUUUAUUAUGUUGCUCUUUGUUGUUUGCUUUCUUUUCUGUUUUUUUUCUCCAUACAGGUGACCCAGGUGUUUUGUUUGUUUUUGUUUUUGUUUCUUCCCCCCCUUCUCACCGUCUCUUCUCCCCUUUGGUUUUCUUUCUCUCCCUCUCUUUCUUUCAUUCUUUCUCCCUGUCCUAUCCCCCAGUCAUGUCUGUCCCGUUUGUAGCAACUGAAAAUAAAAUAAAUUCAUAAUUAUAAUAAAGGUCAGUCAAAUGGACCAAUAUGGCAAGGCCAUGAUGAUCCACUUGGUAAAAUAAAUCCGCUUGGCAUCUUUCUUCGCCUUAAGACAACAAUUCUGAUGGCUAAAGAUCCAAACGGGACACAAAAAAAAAAGAAGAAAAAAAAAUGUCAUAAAUUCCGUUUUCAUGGAUGCCUGGAUGUUAAACUCAAUUGUUACACCUGGUAGAGCAGAACGCUGAUCAUUUUAUUAAAGAUGAAAGACUUUAGACAGUUUUUCAACUCUCAGUAAUGCCAUAGUGAUCGUUUGAUAUAUGGACCUGCAGCGGAGUUUAGGCCCAGACACGGCUAGUGACGUCAGACUUAACGACCGGAUAGGCUAAUUUAAACUUUUUAAAAUUAUGUAAAAUUGUAAAAUGCUUAUCUGUGUCUGUAAUAAAACCUCUGUAACUUUACUCUGCUUCACUUCAGCAGUAUCAGGUAAUGUUCAGAUGUUG
Long non-coding RNA from Astatotilapia calliptera (eastern happy), 1318 nucleotides. NCBI's taxonomy places the organism in Eukaryota, Metazoa, Chordata, Actinopteri, Cichliformes, Cichlidae. The record is from Ensembl.